GAUGAACGCUGGCGGCGUGCUUAACACAUGCAAGUCGAACGGAAAGGCUCCUGCUUGCAGGGGUACUCGAGUGGCGAACGGGUGAGUAACACGUGGGUGAUCUGCCCUGCACUUCGGGAUAAGCCUGGGAAACUGGGUCUAAUACCGGAUAGGACGAUGGUUUGGAUGCCAUUGUGGAAAGUUUUUUCGGUGUGGGAUGAGCUCGCGGCCUAUCAGCUUGUUGGUGGGGUAAUGGCCUACCAAGGCGUCGACGGGUAGCCGGCCUGAGAGGGUGUACGGCCACAUUGGGACUGAGAUACGGCCCAGACUCCUACGGGAGGCAGCAGUGGGGAAUAUUGCACAAUGGGCGCAAGCCUGAUGCAGCGACGCCGCGUGGGGGAUGACGGCCUUCGGGUUGUAAACUCCUUUCGCUAGGGACGAAGCGCAAGUGACGGUACCUGGAGAAGAAGCACCGGCUAACUACGCG
Molecule: ribosomal RNA, 466 nt
Filed under: uncultured bacterium
Lineage: Bacteria
Description: partial 16S ribosomal RNA
Rfam family: Bacterial small subunit ribosomal RNA
Source: RNAcentral